RNAcentral lists this ribosomal RNA (438 nucleotides) under uncultured bacterium. RNAcentral's name for it is "bacterial SSU rRNA". It matches the Rfam family "Bacterial small subunit ribosomal RNA", at positions 954 to 1392 of the family's 1533-position model. The record is from RNAcentral.
GCAUAACGCGAAGAACCUUACCAAGGCUUGACAUGCAUCUCUAAGCGCGUGAAAGCGCGUGACUCUUCGGAGGAUUUGCACAGGUGCUGCAUGGCCGUCGCCAGCUCGUGUCGUGAGAUGUUGGGUUAAGUCCCGCAACGAGCGCAACCCCUGUGAUUAGUUGCCAGCACGUGAUGGUGGGGACUCUAAUCAGACUGCCCAGAUCAACUGGGAGGAAGGUGGGGACGACGUCAGGUCAGUAUGGCCCUUACGCCUUGGGCUGCACACGUACUACAAUGCCCAGCACAAUGAGAACCGAGACCGCGAGGUGGAGGAAAUCUACAAAACUGGGCCCAGUUCGGAUUGGAGGCUGCAACUCGCCUCCAUGAAGCCGGAAUCGCUAGUAAUGCUGCAUCAGCUACGGCACCGUGAAUACGUUCCCGGGUCUUGUACACACCG